UGCAGUACAAGGCUAAAUAGGGCCCUGGGAUGAGGCACCUGUGACAGGGAGGGGUGCAAAACCAUAUAUAUAUAUAAAAAUAGUGGUAGCCCCAAAAUAUUGGGACAUAUAAAAAAGACAACUCCUGUAUCGCAGAGUAGCUGUUGACAUUAUAGUUGUGCGGUUAGUUUGUUGACUCUAGAGAACCUCGGGCAAAUCACACAUCCCCGUGGCGGCGACUUUGAACGCGGAUGUCAUCCAUAUUAACUUUCAAUGCCAGUUUCUGCGCCUACCAUGAUGACCACAGGAAAUCAGGGUUCCAUUCCGUACAGGGACCCUUAGAAACAGCUACCACAUGCAAGGAAGGCAGCAGGCGCGUAAAUGACCCACUCCCGACGCGGGAAGGUAGUGACG
This is a non-coding RNA of Pelobates cultripes (western spadefoot toad), 393 nucleotides long. The record is from the annotation of a GenBank genome assembly. Lineage: Eukaryota; Metazoa; Chordata; Amphibia; Anura; Pelobatidae.